UUUAGAGGACGGAUUUGACUGAUUGCAACCUCAAUAAAAAAUGCUAAAG
Molecule: non-coding RNA, 49 nt
Filed under: uncultured Lacinutrix sp.
Lineage: Bacteria; Pseudomonadati; Bacteroidota; Flavobacteriia; Flavobacteriales; Flavobacteriaceae
Source: RNAcentral